This is an RNA transcript of Macadamia integrifolia, 3607 nucleotides long. It is a transcript of the gene named pentatricopeptide repeat-containing protein At2g16880-like, with no coding region annotated. The record is from RefSeq and is a predicted model, not a curated record. The transcript has 3 exons. Lineage: Eukaryota; Viridiplantae; Streptophyta; Magnoliopsida; Proteales; Proteaceae.
AACACAGCCCCUUGUGCUAUUCGCGAUUUUGCAUAGGUCGACCGUCGACUCUCUGUUCUUUGCUAGCAAACUCGAUUUACCCGAUAGAAUGGCAGAAGACAGUAGUUGCCGUAAAGCUUCUGAAGAAUCCACGGCGGCUGUGACAGCAGCGACAAGACAAAGGUGCUGGAUUUUUAAUCUCAUUCGUUCUCAGAGAUGAUGGUUUGAAGAACAACUUCCCAGAUGGAUUUAGUGUUAACUCGCCUGUCAUCCUUGCAUGAGCUUAAAAUUUGCUCUAAUAGGUUGGGGAAUGAUAUAGGCGUAUAGCCCCAACCUGUAUCAACCCUGAACCAUAUUAUCUCCUCUAUCAGGCCCAUGGAAGCACCAACAUCUUCAGCAGCAGCUGAAUCUGACAUAGUAAGGAACAUAGUCAACAUACUUACUUCCCAACCUUCCCUCCAAUCACUAAAGCCAUACAUUCAUCACCUCACCCCUUCUUUGAUACCAUCAAUCUUCUCAUCUGCAUCCCAUUCUUCGUGCCCUAGCACACUUCUUACCUUCUUUCAAUGGUGUCAUACUAAUGUAUCCAAUUUCACCCAUGACUGCAAUUCCCUGCCUUCCCUUCUCAUCCUCCUCCCUUGUCUCUUUAAACAAAAUAAGUUCUCUGCUGCCAAAUCUCUUCUACUCUCCUUCAUCGCUGCUGACACUCGUCAUGUCCUUCACUACCACCUUCUCCAUCCAUCUUCUCGCUUCCCUUUCCCCUCCAAAGCCCUCCUUGACACUGCAGUUGGUGCAUAUAUCCAGUACGGGAAACCUCACCUCGCGUUUCAGAUUUUCAAGAAGAUGAAGCGCCACCGUCUCCUCCCAACAGUCCUCACCUGCAACACCCUGCUCAAUUCCCUGGUAAGAUACCCAUCUUCUUAUUCACUUCCUAUGUCAAGACAAGUCUUUGAUGAUGCCAUCAAGCUUGGGGUCAUCCCAAAUACAAACACUUUCAAUAUUAUGAUUUAUGGGUAUUGCUCAAAUUCUAAGUUUAAAGAAGCCCUGAUGUACCUUAACCGGAUGAGUGACUUUGGUUGCUUACCUGAUAAUGUUACUUAUAAUACCAUCCUAGAUGCUUUCUGUAAGAAAGGACUUUUGAAUGAGGCUCGGGAUUUACUUUCUGAUAUGAAAUAUAGAGGGCUUUCCCCAAAUCGGAAUACAUUUAACACGUUAGUUUCUGCGUAUUGUAAGUUGGGUUGGCUGAAGGAGGCAGCAAAGACAAUUGAAUUGAUGACCCAAAGCAAAAUUUUGCCUGAUAUUUGGACUUACAACAUGUUGAUUCAUGGGUUGUGCAAGGAGGGUAGGAUUGAAGAAGCUCUCAGACUUCGAGAUGAGAUGGAGAACCUGAAAUUGUUUCCAGAUGUUGUUACUUAUAACACAUUGAUUAAUGCAUGCUUUGAGUGGAAGAUGAACUUUAUGGCCUAUGAGUUGGUUGAGAAAAUGGCUGAGAAGGGUGUGGAGCGGAAUGCUGUUACCCAUAAUAUUAUCAUUAAGGGGUUGUGCAAACAGGGGAAGAUAGAGGAAGCAUGGGAAUCCAUUAAAAAAAUGGAGGAAAAUGGGGUUUCUCCUGACUGUGUUUCUUACAAUACCUUGAUCAAUGGGUACUCAAAAUCAGGAAAAAUGGCGGAUGCAUUCAAGAUGAUGAAUGAGAUGGCUCGGAAAGGUUUGAAGAUGGACAUUGUUACUUUUAAUACUGUUCUCUACAAUCUCUGUGAGGAGAGGAAGCUAGAUGAGGCCCGUGGCCUACUUUGUAGUGCUGCAAAGAAGGGCUAUUCCAUUGAUGAGGUUAGUUAUGGCACUUUGAUAAUGGGAUAUUUCAAAGAUGGGGAUGUUGAUGGGGCUUUGAAGCUUUGGGACGAGAUGAAAGAGAAAGAGAUCCUUCCUAGUGUUGUUACCUACAAUUCAGUUAUUGGAGGGCUUUGCAAGUGUGGCAAGACCGAGGAGGCAUUGGCCAAGUUGAAUGAGCUUAUACGGAAUGGGUUGGUGCCUGAUGAGACUACGUACAACAGUCUUAUUCAUGGGUACUGUAGGGAAGGAGAUCUGGAAAAAGCUUUUCAGUUCCACAAUAAAAUGGUUGAGAAAUCCUUCAAGCCAGAUACUUAUACUUGUAAUAUUCUUCUUCGUGCACUCUGCGAUGGGAGAAUGAUAGAUAGGGCUCGUAAGCUCUUCCAAACAUGGGUCUCAAAGGGGAAAGUUGUUGAUACCGUCACUUACAACAUUCUGAUAACAGGUAUGUGCAAAUCUGGUAAAAUAGAGUGGGCAUUGGAGCUUUUCAGAGAAAUGGAAGAGAAGAAACUGGAACCGGACCACAUUACAUACAAUGCUAUUUUAUGUGGACUUACAGAGUCGGGUAGGACUGAAGAUGCCGAGGAGUUUCUAUCCAAUAUGAUUCAAAAUGGAAAAUUACCCAAUCAGUUCUCUCUUGCAGUUAGUAGGGAAGCCACCCCAGGAGCACAUGGUAAAAAAGGCCAAGAAGCGGUUGCUAAUGGAACUCCACAUGACUGCGAUUCAAGUUCUGUUGCUUACUCUAAGCGCAUUGAUGACCUAUGUAAUGAAAGAAAAUACAAAGAAGCAAUGUGCACAUUGGAAGAAUCAAUGAAGAAUGGUAUUGCUAUAAAGAGAUCCGCAUAUAUUACUUUAAUGGAAGGGCUCAUUAUUAGGCGGAAAAGCACAUCAAAGGUGGCCCAAUAGAAGUGGCCUUUAUGUUGUUUCUAGUCUCUUCUCGAUCAGCGGGUCAGCCUUAUUAUCUUAUUUUAGUCAGCGGUGAGCAGUUGAACCAGUUAAGUGAAGGGGGAAGAGAUUGUGUAUUUUGUAAGCAUCAUGUCCAAUUCAUGAAUCAAUUUGUAAAUAGAUUUUGAAAGACUUAUUACUUGAAUGGUAUGUUCUCAUUUCCCUUGUUUUUCAUAUUACAAUUCCCAUUAUUCCCCUGUUUUUCAUAUUACAAUUCCCAUUAUUGUAGCGAACCAUGGUUGAAUUGAAGCUAAGUUUUGCAGUGGUUUAUGCAUGAGAGCCACUAAAAUCAAGCUCUAGAGAUAAAUCAGUUCUGUUGUCUUGCAUAAAUUCGGUUCAAGAUGUUUCUUCUAUAGUUUUUUUUUUUUUUUUUUCAUCUGAUAUUGUUAUGCUUAAUGAAAAGAUAUUUGGAAGAUAGAAAUCAGUUAUGUUCUCUUGCAUUUUUGCAGUGAAUCAACUACUUGAAGAUAACCUUUCUGAUGAUAUUUUUGAGUCAGUUUUAGAAAAUUCCUUCCCUAGACAGUUACACCCACAGCAUGAGAAUAGUGCUUAAAAUUUAAACAGUUCAGGUGAGGUCAUGGGAAACUUCCAUAUGCAUUGAAGGAAAGAAAAAUGAUCAAUCUUUUGAAAAUCCUAACAGUGAAAAAAAGAUCUGACAGUAUUUUUGUUCAUGUAGAGUAGAAUCAACGAUUCAUUCAUACAAGCAUAAGUAUGCUUCAAAGUUACAUUUAGUGAUCAUUUUAGAUGUCUUCUUGCCAACCCUCUAUCUCAGCCACUUGUGCUUCAUGUUCUACAUUGCUGUUUAUAAAUAGUUUUACUAGCAGACACCAUGAUGUUUUUGAUGUGGUCCUACUGA